AAACAUACUGUAGGAAUGCUUAUCUGUGGCUUGUUUGCUAGACAGCAAACCUCUUGACAACAGAACUGGUGUUUUUUCACAAGGGUAAACGGCUGGCUGCUUGAAGUAUAAAGUACUGGAAGACACAGCUACAUCACUCACCUGCUUUCUCGUGAGCAGGGCAAGUCCCAUCACCCUGAAAUCGCACUCCUGCACCCCUUUACAGGCAAGCGCACUUGUCUGACUCUGCAAGCAGCCUUCCUACGCUAGCAGAUAGGGCAGUAUUUACCUGCCUGUGAGGGGGACUAGUUCUUUCGCUGAAGCAGAAAAACAGUGCUGCUCCAGUUCACCAUGGGAAGAGAGGAUGACAGGACCAACCAGAUGGAAGUGGCAGAGAGCUGUGAAAGGGGUGAAGAAUGUAUGGAUUACCUCUUAGGUACAGCAAGUUAUGAGCUCAACUCAUGAUGUCAGCCCACGGCCUUGCUCAACUUGGUAUGGCCUCUUCUUCUGUUCCCCUUCGGACUUCUGCUUAGCAUCACUUGGAAAAUGUGCUCCUAUGGGUGGGACCUGAAGAAAGAUCUUUUCUCCCAGUUCCCCAAGCAAUCUACUUGGCUUACAGCUUCAUUUUUCACAUCUUGACUGAUCUAAAGAUGAGGCCAAAAAUUUUUAUUUGCUUCUGCUUUAUACGAACACAUGCACAUAGAAAUCCAUUACUGAGGUUAUGGGGACAGAGCAACUCAGAUGCUGACACGAUUUUUACUUAUAUGCACAUUUUGUGUGUAAGAUAGAAACUAAAUAUGCUAUUCUUCAGAGAGGCAGAGCAAAGUAAUUCCCAUAACUUUUGAAAGACAUUCCUACAAUAUAUUGUAGUAUUUUCUGAAAGUGUAUUUUAUGUUCACAAAGAGUUAUAAUCUUAGAACACAGAAUAUCCCAUGUUGGAAAGGACCCAUAAGGAUUGUCAAGUCCAACUCCUUACUCCACACAGGACCACCCAAAAAACAGGCCAUAUGACUGAGAGCGUUGUCCAAACACUCCUUGUGCUUGGGGCCAUACUCAUCGCAUUCUAGUGCAGAACUUUUCCCUAACCCCCAGCUGCACCUCCCUUGAUGGAGCCAUAGGCCAUUCCUGCCUGCCCUGUUGCUGUCACCAGAGCAGAGCUCAGUGCUGCCACUCCGUUCCCUGUGAGGAGCUGCAGUGGCUAUGAAGCUUCCCCUCAGCUCCUCUGCUCUGGGCUGAAGAAACCAUGAAGAAUCACACUGGGCCCCAUGGAUUUACAGGCAUCCAGGUGGAGCAGCAAAUCCCGUGCAAGUUCAGGGUUAGCUGGGAGUUCAUUUUCAUCACAUUGUUCAGAUCCCUCCUCCUCUAAGUCAAAGCCUUGGUUCAUUUUUCCUAGUAGAAUGUGUUACAAGGAUGAAAGCAUAACCUUUGAAGGCUGAAGAAAAAUUCAGAUGGCUUUUGUUCUACGUGCCAAAUAAUGUGAGAAAAAAAUGGGGAAAAAAAUGGAACACUUCAGUAUUUAGAAUGGAAACGGGAUUUAAAAUAUAUUUCCAUAUAUUAUUUAUUUUUUAGAACAAAACAAGGAACAGAAUCUCACUACUAAUUCUGUCAGUGAAUUAGUUUACAUCUAAUAAAAUUGCUACGUUAAACU
Gallus gallus (chicken) is the source of this 1627-nucleotide long non-coding RNA. NCBI's taxonomy places the organism in Eukaryota, Metazoa, Chordata, Aves, Galliformes, Phasianidae. The record is from Ensembl.